GAUGCAGAACGCAGCGAAAUGCGAUAAGUAAUGUGAAUUGCAGCAUUCAGUGAAUCAUCGAAUCUUUGAACGCACCUUGCGCCCUUUGGCCAUUCCGAAGGGCAUGCCUGUUUGAGUAUCAUGAACACCUCAACUCUUUAUGGUUUUCCAUGAUGAGCUUGGACUCUGGGGGUUUUGCUGGCUCACAGUCGGCUCCUCUAAAAUGAAUCAGCUUACCAGUGUUUGGUGGGUAUCAUGGGUGUGAUAACUAUCUACGCUUGUGGUUUUUCCACCAGGUAACCUUCAGCAGUGGAGGUUCGCUGGAGCUCAUAGAUGUCUCUCCUCAGUGAGGACAGCCCUUUGAAUGUUUGAUCUCAAAUCAGGUAGGACUACCCGCUGAACUUAAGCAUAUCAAUAAGCGGAGGA
RNAcentral lists this unclassified non-coding RNA (405 nucleotides) under soil metagenome. RNAcentral describes it as "partial contains 5.8S ribosomal RNA, internal transcribed spacer 2, and large subunit ribosomal RNA". The stretch from base 1 to 121 matches the Rfam family "5.8S ribosomal RNA", at positions 35 to 154 of the family's 154-position model. The record is from RNAcentral.